RNAcentral lists this ribosomal RNA (388 nucleotides) under uncultured bacterium. RNAcentral's name for it is "bacterial SSU rRNA". It matches the Rfam family "Bacterial small subunit ribosomal RNA", at positions 28 to 416 of the family's 1533-position model. The record is from RNAcentral.
GACGAACGCUGGCGGCGUGCUUAACACAUGCAAGUCGUGGGGGGGUGUUGGGCAACCAAUACCUCACCGGCGAACGGGUGCGUAACACGUGAGCAACCUACCGAGAUGUGGGGGAUAGACCGGCCCAACGGCCGGGUAAUACCGCAUACGCUCACCGCGAGGAGUCUCGUGGUGAGGAAACCUCCGGGACAUUUCGAGGGGCUCGCGUCCUAUCAGCUUGUUGGCGAGGUAACGGCUCACCAAGGCGAUNACGGGUAGCUGGUCUGAGAGGAUGGCCAGCCACAUUGGGACUGAGAGACGGCCCAGACUCCUACGGGAGGCAGCAGUGGGGAAUCUUGCGCAAUGGCCGAAAGGCUGACGCAGCGACGCCGCGUGCGGGAGGACGCUC